UACCAGCACCCCGAGUGGUCGGGACGUUUAUUGGGCCUAAAGCAUCCGUAGCCGGUUCUACAAGUCUUCCGUUAAAUCCACCUGCUUAACAGAUGGGCUGCGGAAGAUACUAUAGAGCUAGGAGGCGGGAGAGGCAAGCGGUACUCGAUGGGUAGGGGUAAAGUCCGUUGAUCCAUUGAAGACCACCAGUGGCGAAGGCGGCUUGCCAGAACGCGCUCGACGGUGAGGGAUGAAAGCUGGGGGAGCAAACCGG
This 253-nucleotide ribosomal RNA is filed under the name uncultured bacterium. RNAcentral's name for it is "partial 16S ribosomal RNA". It matches the Rfam family "Archaeal small subunit ribosomal RNA", at positions 474 to 727 of the family's 1478-position model. The record is from RNAcentral.